This 2131-nucleotide ribosomal RNA is filed under the name human gut metagenome. RNAcentral describes it as "bacterial LSU rRNA". It matches the Rfam family "Bacterial large subunit ribosomal RNA", at positions 689 to 2841 of the family's 2925-position model. The record is from RNAcentral.
AGCGCGUAUAAGUCAUAUGAAAUAGACCCGAAACCGAGUGACCUAACCAUGUCCAGGAUGAAGCUUGAGUAAAAUCAAGUGGAGGUCCGAACUCAUAGACGUUAAAAAGUCUCGGGAUGAGGUGUGGAUAGCGGAGAAAUUCCAAUCGAACUCGGAGAUAGCUGGUUCUCCUCGAAAUAGCUUUAGGGCUAGCCUCGAGCUGGAGUCUAACGGAGGUAAAGCACUGAACUGACGCGGGGCCCAAAAAGGUUACCAACUCAUAUCAAACUAAGAAUGCCGUCAAGAUACCCUCGGGAGUCAGUCUGCGUGAGAUAAGUCGCGUGGACAAAAGGGAAAGAGCCCAGACCGACAGCUAAGGUCCCAAAGUACGUGUUAAGUGGAAAAGGAUGUGGGAUUUCAUAGACAACUAGGAUGUUGGCUUAGAAGCAGCCAUACAUUUAAAGAGUGCGUAAUAGCUCACUAGUCGAGAAAACCUGCGCCGAAAAUGUAACGGGGCUAAAACACGACACCGAAGCUACGGAUUUCCUACAAGGUAGGAAGUGGUAGAGGAGCAUCCUGCAAGGACGAAGCCAAAGUGAGAGCGAUGGUGGACGAAACAGGAGAGAGAAUGCCGGAAUGAGUAGCGAGAUACAUGUGAGAAACAUGUAGGCCGAAUAUCUAAGGAUUCCUGGGUAAAGCUAAUCUUCCCAGGGUUAGUCGGGGCCUAAGGCGAGGACGAAAGUCGUAGUCGAUGGAUAACAGGUUGAUAUUCCUGUACUACACAUAAUCAGAACUGUGGGGACGCAGAAGGAUAGGGAAACCGGGGAAUGGAAAGACCCGGUCAAGCGUAAAGCUGUGGGAGAUAGGCAAAUCCGUCUCUUGUAAGUGAAACGUGAUGAGGACUGAAAAAAAGUAAGGAAGUUUCCGAAUCCACACUGCCGAGAAAAGCCGCUAUUGCGUUAUGUGUACCCGUACCGUAAACCGACACAGGUAGAUGAGGAGAAAAUCCACAGGCCGACGGGAGAAGUGUUGUUAAGGAACUCGGCAAAAUGACCCCGUAACUUCGGGAUAAGGGGAGCCUCGCAAGAGGCCGCAGAAAAGAGGCACAAGCAACUGUUUAGCAAAAACAUAGGUCUAUGCGAAACCGUAAGGUGAAGUAUAUGGGCUGACGCCUGCCCGGUGCUGGAAGGUUAAAAGGAGAGGUCAGCGCAAGCGAAGCUUUGAAUUCAAGCCCCAGUAAACGGCGGCCGUAACUAUAACGGUCCUAAGGUAGCGAAAUUCCUUGUCAGGUAAGUUCUGACCCGCACGAAAGGCGUAAUGAUUUGUGCACUGUCUCGACAACACGCCCGGUGAAAUUGAAGAACCAGUGAAGAUACUGGUUACCCGCAACAGGACGGAAAGACCCCAUGGAGCUUUACUGCAGCCUGAUACUGGGAUUCGAUGAUAUAUGUACAGGAUAGGUGGGAGGCUAAGAAGCGAGAACGCUAGUUUUCGUGGAGCCGCCGGUGGGAUACCACUCUUAUGUCAUUGAAUUUCUAACCUGCAUCCGUAAUCCGGGUGAGGGACAAUGUCAGGCGGGCAGUUUGACUGGGGCGGUCGCCUCCUAAAAGGUAACGGAGGCGCUCGAAGGUCACCUCAGAAUGAUUGGAAACCAUUCAAAGAGUGUAAAGGCAAAAGGUGGCUUGACUGCGAGAGCGACGGCUCGAGCAGGUACGAAAGUAGGACUUAGUGAUCCGGUGGUAAUAAGUGGGAAUGCCAUCGCUCAACGGAUAAAAGCUACCCUGGGGAUAACAGGCUUAUCUCCCCCAAGAGUUCACAUCGACGGGGAGGUUUGGCACCUCGAUGUCGGCUCAUCGCAUCCUGGGGCUGAAGUAGGUCCCAAGGGUUGGGCUGUUCGCCCAUUAAAGCGGUACGCGAGCUGGGUUCAGAACGUCGUGAGACAGUUCGGUCCCUAUCCGGCGCAGGCGGAGGAUAUUUGAGAGGAGCUGUCCUUAGUACGAGAGGACCGGGAUGGACGGACCACUGGUGUAUCUGUUGGCUAUCAGAGCCAUGGCAGAGUAGCCAAGUCCGGCAGGGAUAAACGCUGAAGGCAUCUAAGCGUGAAGCCCCCCUCAAGAUGAGAUAUCCCUCAGAAAUGAGUAAGACCCCUUGA